CCUACGGGGGGCAGCAGUGAGGAAUAUUGGUCAAUGGCCGGAAGGCUGAACCAGCCAAGCCGCGUGAAGGACGAAGGUGCCAAGCAUUGUAAACUUCUUUUGUCAAGGGACAAAAUCAGGCUCGAGAGCCUGACCGAGGGUACUUGAAGAAAAAGCAUCGGCUAACUCCGUGCCAGCAGCCGCGGUAAUACGGAGGAUGCGAGCGUUAUCCGGAUUUAUUGGGUUUAAAGGGUGCGUAGGGGGGCUGUUAAGUCAGCGGUAAAAGCACGGGGCCAAAACCCGGAGGGCAGUUGAAACUGGCUGUCUGGAGAUGUGUAGAGGUAUGCGGAAGGCGUGGUGUAGCGGUGAAAGGCUUAGAUAUUGCGAAGAACUCCGAUUGCGAAGGCAGCAUACCGGCGGCGUUCUGACGCUGAGGCACGAAAGCGUGGGUAUCAAACAGGAUUAGAUACCCGAGUAGUC
This 459-nucleotide ribosomal RNA is filed under the name uncultured bacterium. RNAcentral's name for it is "partial 16S ribosomal RNA". It matches the Rfam family "Bacterial small subunit ribosomal RNA", at positions 338 to 795 of the family's 1533-position model. The record is from RNAcentral.